This 291-nucleotide ribosomal RNA is filed under the name Austrohalipegus anguillicola. RNAcentral describes it as "partial small subunit ribosomal RNA". It matches the Rfam family "Eukaryotic small subunit ribosomal RNA", at positions 629 to 866 of the family's 1831-position model. The record is from RNAcentral. Lineage: Eukaryota; Metazoa; Platyhelminthes; Trematoda.
UCUGGGUUGCAUGGCUGCACGCCGUGGUUGGUCUGCUUUGUCAAUUUUCGACAUUCGGACUGCCUGGUGUCGCGGUCGUGUGAUCUUUCUGCCGUAUCUGUUUUACAGGUGUCGGUUGAUUUUCAGCUGGCAUGCUCUUGGGUGCCUUUAACAGGGUGUCCAGAGCGGACGGCACGUUUACUUUGAAAAAAUUUGAGUGCUCAAAGCAGGCCGUAGUGCCUGAAAANUCUUGCAUGGAAUAAUAGAAUAGGACUUCGGUUCUAUUUUGUUGGUUUUCGGAUCCGAAGUAAU